This 497-nucleotide ribosomal RNA is filed under the name uncultured bacterium. Its description in RNAcentral is "partial 16S ribosomal RNA". It matches the Rfam family "Bacterial small subunit ribosomal RNA", at positions 28 to 507 of the family's 1533-position model. The record is from RNAcentral.
GAUGAACGCUGGCGGCGUGCCUAAUACAUGCAAGUCGAGCGAACAGACGAGGAGCUUGCUCCUCUGACGUUAGCGGCGGACGGGUGAGUAACACGUGGAUAACCUACCUAUAAGACUGGGAUAACUUCGGGAAACCGGAGCUAAUACCGGAUAAUAUAUUGAACCGCAUGGUUCAAUAGUGAAAGACGGUUUUGCUGUCUCUUAUAGAUGGAUUCGCGCCGCAUUAGCUAGUUGGUAAGGUAACGGCUUACCAAGGCGACGAUGCGUAGCCGACCUGAGAGGGUGAUCGGCCACACUGGAACUGAGACACGGUCCAGACUCCUACGGGAGGCAGCAGUAGGGAAUCUUCCGCAAUGGGCGAAAGCCUGACGGAGCAACGCCGCGUGAGUGAUGAAGGUCUUCGGAUCGUAAAACUCUGUUAUUAGGGAAGAACAAAUGUGUAAGUAACUAUGCACGUCUUGACGGUACCUAAUCAGAAAGCCACGGCUAACUACGUG